ACUCCUACGGGAGGCAGCAGUGGGGAAUAUUGCACAAUGGGGAAACCCUGAUGCAGCCAUGCCGCGUGUGUGAAGAAGGCCUUCGGUUGUAAAGCACUUUCAGUUGUGAGGAAGGUGGUGUCGUUAAUAGCGGCAUCAUUUGACGUUAGCAACAGAAGAAGCACCGGCUAACUCCGUGCCAGCAGCCGCGGUAAUACGGAGGGUGCGAGCGUUAAUCGGAAUUACUGGGCGUAAAGCGCAUGCAGGUGGUUUGUUAAGUCAGAUGUGAAAGCCCGGGGGCUCAACCUCGGAACUGCAUUUGAAACUGGCAGACUAGAGUACUGUAGAGGGGGUAGAAUUUCAGGUGUAGCGGUGAAAUGCGUAGAGAUCUGAAGGAAUACCGGUGGCGAAGGCGGCCCCCUGGACAGAUACUGACACUCAGAUGCGAAAGCGUGGGGAGCAAACAGGAUUAGAUACCCUGGUAGCACAGAG
Molecule: ribosomal RNA, 471 nt
Filed under: uncultured bacterium
Lineage: Bacteria
Description: bacterial SSU rRNA
Rfam family: Bacterial small subunit ribosomal RNA
Source: RNAcentral